RNAcentral lists this ribosomal RNA (423 nucleotides) under uncultured bacterium. RNAcentral's name for it is "partial 16S ribosomal RNA". It matches the Rfam family "Bacterial small subunit ribosomal RNA", at positions 361 to 776 of the family's 1533-position model. The record is from RNAcentral.
AUAUUGCACAAUGGGCGAAAGCCUGAUGCAGCAACGCCGCGUGAGUGAUGAAGGUUUUCGGAUCGUAAAACUCUGUUGUUAGGGAAGAACAAGUAUCGGAGUAACUGCCGGUACCUUGCCGGUACCUAACCAGAAAGCCACGGCUAACUACGUGCCAGCAUCCGCGGUAAUACGUAGGUGGCAAGCGUUGUCCGGAAUUAUUGGGCGUAAAGCGCGCGCAGGCGGUUCCUUAAGUCUGAUGUGAAAGCCCCCGGCUCAACCGGGGAGGGUCAUUGGAAACUGGGGAACUUGAGUGCAGAAGAGAAGAGCGGAAUUCCACGUGUAGCGGUGAAAUGCGUAGAGAUGUGGAGGAACACCAGUGGCGAAGGCGGCUCUUUGGUCUGUAACUGACGCUGAGGCGCGAAAGCGUGGGGAGCAAACAGG